ACUCUCGGCAACGGAUAUCUCGGCUCUCGCAUCGAUGAAGAACGUAGCGAAAUGCGAUACUUGGUGUGAAUUGCAGAAUCCCGUGAACCAUCGAGUCUUUGAACGCAAGUUGCGCCCUAAGCCUUCUGGCCGAGGGCACGUCUGCCUGGGUGUCACAAAUCGUCG
This 165-nucleotide ribosomal RNA is filed under the name Microthlaspi perfoliatum. RNAcentral describes it as "5.8S ribosomal RNA". It matches the Rfam family "5.8S ribosomal RNA". From Rfam's summary of the family: 5.8S ribosomal RNA (5.8S rRNA) is a component of the large subunit of the eukaryotic ribosome. It is transcribed by RNA polymerase I as part of the 45S precursor that also contains 18S and 28S rRNA. Lineage: Eukaryota; Viridiplantae; Streptophyta; Magnoliopsida; Brassicales; Brassicaceae. The record is from RNAcentral.